Molecule: long non-coding RNA, 245 nt
Organism: Peromyscus eremicus (cactus mouse)
Lineage: Eukaryota; Metazoa; Chordata; Mammalia; Rodentia; Cricetidae
Exons: 2
Source: RefSeq, a predicted model, not a curated record
AGAGGGUUUUCCCCUCUGCUGCUAGCACUCCGAGAAAAGAAACUCCGCAUUGCAGGAUACCUAAUCACACACGGUGCGAAUCUUCAUGUAUGUGAUGAACAACAAAGAACACCACUCAUGUAUGCAGUUAAAUGGGAUUGUAAAUAUAUUGUUCAAAUUUUACUGAAGAGAGGUGUUGAUCACCACGCAAAGGACAAAUUUGUAUGGAGUGCACUGCAAUAUGUCAUUGUGGGGAAACACAAAGU